AAAUUGAAGAGUUUGAUCAUGGCUCAGAUUGAACGCUGGCGGCAGGCCUAACACAUGCAAGUCGAACGGUAACAGGAAGCAGCUUGCUGCUUUGCUGACGAGUGGCGGACGGGUGAGUAAUGUCUGGGAAACUGCCUGAUGGAGGGGGAUAACUACUGGAAACGGUGGCUAAUACCGCAUAACGUCGCAAGACCAAAGAGG
Molecule: ribosomal RNA, 201 nt
Filed under: Salmonella enterica subsp. enterica serovar Heidelberg
Lineage: Bacteria; Pseudomonadati; Pseudomonadota; Gammaproteobacteria; Enterobacterales; Enterobacteriaceae
Also listed under: 15 other names
Description: partial 16S ribosomal RNA
Rfam family: Bacterial small subunit ribosomal RNA
Source: RNAcentral